This 492-nucleotide ribosomal RNA is filed under the name Triticum aestivum (bread wheat). RNAcentral's name for it is "partial small subunit ribosomal RNA". Lineage: Eukaryota; Viridiplantae; Streptophyta; Magnoliopsida; Poales; Poaceae. The record is from RNAcentral.
AUGUUCAGAAUUCAGACUCCACAUACUACCAAAACAACGGAAUCAUGCCACAGAAUAAGCAGAAACGGUGCCCAAAUUUUCAAAGCAACAUAUACCUGUAGCUCCUACUGCGGCUCCUGCUGUAGCUCCUAUCACGCACCCUUCCACGGCGAGGAGAUGGAGAUCUGGAGUAACUCUUUCCACGCCUGUUUUCAUCAACACAACUUAAGUCAGAUAUGCUCUACUUAUAAAACAGAAAAGACAAACUCGCAGGGCAUACUUGAGGUUCUUAGGGCUGUUCUGGCAAUCCCUUUCUAUGUGGCCACUAUCUCCACAACGAUAGCACCUAUUUUUCCAGUCGCCAGCUUUGCAGUCACGAGCCCAAUGCCCAUCAAUCCCACAGUUAAAGCAACGGCCAGAACCAGGAGGAGGUCCCCGACCCAUAUAUUCACGGUCACCGCCACGGCCACGGUCACGGUCACCUCCUCCUCCUUGGCCACGCGGAACCUAUAA